GUCGUUGUAGUAUAGUGGUCAGUAUUUCCGCCUGUCACGCGGACGACCCGGGUUCGAUGCCCGGCAACGGCG
This is a non-coding RNA of Zea mays, 72 nucleotides long. The record is from Rfam. Lineage: Eukaryota; Viridiplantae; Streptophyta; Magnoliopsida; Poales; Poaceae.